RNAcentral lists this ribosomal RNA (875 nucleotides) under Artemia urmiana. Its description in RNAcentral is "partial large subunit ribosomal RNA". It matches the Rfam family "Archaeal large subunit ribosomal RNA", at positions 1543 to 2599 of the family's 2987-position model. Lineage: Eukaryota; Metazoa; Arthropoda; Branchiopoda; Anostraca; Artemiidae. The record is from RNAcentral.
UUUAUUAUACUUUGUAUCAGGGUUUAUUCAUUUUGACCAUUAUUGUCAAAUCCCGAAAUAAGGUGAUUUAUGUUAAUAAAGAUGAUUGUUUCAUAACUUUCUUUAAGAUUAACAUCGGUGUAAAAAAUAUUUCGUACCUAUAUAUCUGGUUGGCAGAAGACUCCUUUAGGGUACUCCGGAAGGAAAAUUUUCUAGGGGACGAGCUCUAGAAAAAAUUAUAUCAAAUUACUAUCAGCGAUAUGAAUAGGCUUAAAAGUUGCCAGGGUGUAAUAACCAGGCUCGUUUAAAUAAUAAUUUAAAGUUGAUUAAUUGAAUCUAGCCGAUGCUUAUUACUAACAUUGAGCAGCCAUAAUGAUAAAAUUAGUAUAUAUAAAAUGUAAUAGAAUCUAUUCCAAAAAUUUUGGAAGGAAUUCGGCAAAACUUGCCUCCGCCUGUUUAACAAAAACAUCGCCUCCCAAUUUUAGGAGGUCGGGCCUGCCCACUGAUUAAUUAAAGGGCCGUGGUAUACUGACCAUGCGAAGGAGCAUAAUCAUUAGCCUUUUGAUUUGAGGCUGGAAUGAAUGGUCUGACGAGAGGCAACCUGUCUCCUUAAUUAACUUGAAUUUAAUCUUUAAGUGAAAAAGCUUAAAUAGCCUUGGAGGACGAUAAGACCCUAUAGAUCUUUACAUCCGGCUUUUUCAUCUAACGGUGGGUAAUCGGGUGGAAGAGGAGGAUGUUUGGUUGGGGCGACGUCGAGAGAAGAAUAAACACUCGAGAAUUACAUACAUCAAUAAAUGAUCAUUGAUCCUUAGAUGAAAAUAGAGUAAGUUACCUUAGGGAUAACAGCGUAAUUCUUUUUGAGAGCUCAAAUCGACAAAAGAGUUUGCGACCUCGAU